CGUGCAGGCGGGUCGACAAGUCUGAUGUGAAAGCCCCGGGCUCAACCUGGGAAGUGCAUUGGAAACUGUCGGUCUUGAGUUCUGGAGAGGAAGGGGGAAUUCCCGGUGUAGAGGUGAAAUUCGUAGAGAUCGGGAGGAAUACCAGUGGCGAAGGCGCCCUUCUGGACGGCAACUGACGCUGAGACGCGAAAGCGUGGGGAGCAAACAGGAUUAGAUACCCUGGUAGUCCACGCUGUAAACGAUGAGCACUAGGUGUAGCGGGUACUCAUUCCUGCUGUGCCGCAGCUAACGCGUUAAGUGCUCCGCCUGGGGAUUACGGUCGCAAGACUAAA
Molecule: ribosomal RNA, 332 nt
Filed under: uncultured bacterium
Lineage: Bacteria
Description: bacterial SSU rRNA
Rfam family: Bacterial small subunit ribosomal RNA
Source: RNAcentral